GUUGAUAGGCCGGGUGUGGAAGCGCAGCAAUGUGUGAAGCUUACCGGUACUAAUCGCUCGAUCGGCUUGAUCGU
RNAcentral lists this ribosomal RNA (74 nucleotides) under Mycoplana dimorpha. RNAcentral describes it as "Bacterial large subunit ribosomal RNA". It matches the Rfam family "Bacterial large subunit ribosomal RNA", at positions 2852 to 2925 of the family's 2925-position model. The record is from Rfam by way of RNAcentral. Lineage: Bacteria; Pseudomonadati; Pseudomonadota; Alphaproteobacteria; Hyphomicrobiales; Rhizobiaceae.